UAGUCCUAGCCGUAAACGAUGUUCAUUAGGUGUGGGAGGUAUCGACCCCUUCUGCGCCGAAGCUAACGCAUUAAAUGAACCGCCUGGGGAGUACGGCCGCAAGGUUGAAACUCAAAGGAAUUGACGGGGGCCCGCACAAGCGGUGGAGUAUGUGGUUUAAUUCGACGCAACGCGAAGAACCUUACCUGGGCUUGAACCGUAGGUUGUAAAACCCUGAAAGGGGGAUGACCCGCAAGGGAGCCUAUAGAGGUGCUGCAUGGUUGUCGUCAGCUCGUGUCGUGAGAUGUUGGGUUAAGUCCCGCAACGAGCGCAACCCUUAUCCUUUGUUGCAACCCGUUAUUUUAAUAAUGGGGCACUCUAAGGAGACUGCCACGGAUAACGUGGAGGAAGGUGGGGACGACGUCAAAUCAUCAUGGCCCUUAUGUCCAGGGCUACACACGUACUACAAUGGCCAAUACAGGGGGAAGCAAGACGGUAACGUGGAGCAAAUCCCCAAAGUUGGCCUCAGUUCAGAUUGUGGGCUGCAACUCGCCCAC
RNAcentral lists this ribosomal RNA (536 nucleotides) under uncultured bacterium. Its description in RNAcentral is "bacterial SSU rRNA". It matches the Rfam family "Bacterial small subunit ribosomal RNA", at positions 791 to 1319 of the family's 1533-position model. The record is from RNAcentral.